GGGUAGGUCUCGCUGAAUAUUAUUUAUUCUCAAGGCCACUCAUUUUCACCUGGACUUUUGGAGUUUGAGCCUUCUCGUCAGUACUGUGGAUUUUUUCUUGCACAAUCUAAGUAUGAAGAAACAUCUCUGAACCUUCUAUAUCUGCUCACUGACAGAAGGACGUAAUUUGAGCUGUGAGUGUAUUAUACUGUAGACUGGAAAGUGCUGAAUCCGGCAGAGCAAGGUGGAGUGACUGGCCAUACGUCGUACUCAUCCUGAUGUUGAGUAUAUGCAGCAUUCACAGAAGAACAUAUGGUGAACCAAGAGUUUUGGCCUCCACAGUCAUCAGACCUAAAAGUAUGACUUUUAUCUGUGGGAUUAAUUUAGGGAAAUGUUUAUAAUACGAAUCCCCAGACAGUCCCUGACUGAAACAGCAAAUUGAAAAUAAUGUCCAGAAUAACGAAUCUGUGAAGUUGCAGAAGGUAUUUCUGAACAAUACAUGACAAGAUGGACACAACUUUGCCAAGCCACUAGCAGACACCAUUUCUAGCAUGUCCUGCAACAGGCCUAUUGACCGGCCAGGACCCCACUAGUGCCGCAUACUAAUGUAUCCUUACUAGUAUCAGGGUAAUUUUCCACCUAUUUACCCUCACUAGCUGACUUUUCCUCCAUCUGUUCCAUCUCUGUUUCUUUUCAAUUUUCUUUUUUCAAUUUUCAUUUCCUCUUUAUAUCUUUCCUAUAUCCCCUUUUUAUUUUUUACACUUAUUAUUUUUUGCAUUUUUAUUUUAUUUAAUCUCCACCUUUAUCCUGAUUGUUCUUCUUAUUUGAGGUCCUCUACCUCUUCUUCCCCUACAUUAUUUUAAUUUUUAACUUUUUAGUUUUGCUACCUUUUCUAAUACCAUUCCAUUGACUUCUCUACUACCUAUCUGUAUCCAUUUAUACUUCCAUUCCCUCUGCGUUUUCUGUACUGAUUGACACACAAUAAACACAUACAUUGCAAGACAUCAUACAUUUAUUACACAUAUACUGCCUCUCAAAAAGUUCUCUGCAUCAUGAUAAGAUUAGAUUCUUCUCUCCUUUUCCCUUUUUUCUUUGCCCUUUUUUCUACCCACUAACAUCACUAACUCACUGACACAUCACAGGCCUUACUUCCGACCAGUGGAACCCGUCCACUGUAUUCCCGCCAUCAGCCAACACGCAGGAGAAGGUGGCACCUCAACCACACGCACACAGUGUAGGAGGGCGCACUUAUUUAAAGGGAAUCUGUCACCUAUUUUGACCAUAUAAAACCGUUAACAUAGCAAUGUGCA
Long non-coding RNA from Bufo gargarizans (Asiatic toad), 1289 nucleotides. RefSeq lists it as uncharacterized. The transcript has 3 exons. Lineage: Eukaryota; Metazoa; Chordata; Amphibia; Anura; Bufonidae. The record is from RefSeq and is a predicted model, not a curated record.